AGGAAAUUACAGUUGUUGUACUUACACACAAUUUUAUUGUAAGCUAAUUCAGAAAUACAAUUUUGUCAUCUAACAAAUAAAUUAAUGUUUGCCCAACUCAAUAUUCUCAGAAUUUGGUCAACAAGGAAAUUUGAUUCACCAAAACAAGAUUUUUUGUUUCCCUCAACUUUCUAACAAGAUUAGAAAGAUUCUAACACAAAAAAUUAAGUUUCCUCAACUGUAUGUUCAUGGACACGCCUACUACGGGGUUUCCUUCCUGUCUCCAUGGACAUACACAGGUCUCCACGAGUCGACCGUUCUACCAUUUUCCCUCGAAGUUGAGAGGAUUGCCAGACGUGAGAUUCAUAUCAGAACACAGACCCUGAGGAAGAGGUGGUUGGAGGAGUGGCAGUUGCCAUACUGACUGUCUAUGACGAUGAUGAUGGCACCGAAUCCCCACCAGUGACUGAAAUCAAUGUCAUCUUGGAAGGGGCAGUUAUAAAACACGACCUACCUGACCUCGCUGCUGACUUCGCCUACCUGUUUGGCCUAAUGUAUGCAAUGGACAUAAGCUAUCCAGAGAAGAUGAGGUACACCUUUGAGGCCAUCCAGACUAUCUUUUUCGAGCUUGGUUCAAGAUGCUCUCAGCGCACGCGAUCCUUGAAAGAGAAGCUUUUGCUGUGAAGCCUGUGUAUGAUUUACACUCACACACACAUACACACGAACGCACGCACGCCCAGCUCUGUCAUCACUCCUCCAUGAACAAGCCUACACCAGCUCUUUCACACAUACACACACACACACACACACACACACACACACACACACACACACACACACACACAAGGAGACUCCCUUUCAUACAUACAUCAUUGUUCUGGCAGCCCAUUGACUCUAGCAGUUAAAUGGUGGUUUACAUUGUGGUUUUAUGUUUUUGUACGUAUUGAUACAAUAGCCACAUUUACAUGAGCCUAAUGGCCUAAUGUCUUUAUCAGAGUAUCGGACAGUUUUAGCCUACACCACCUCUUACACACGCACACACACACACACACACACACACAAGGAGACUCCCUUUCAUACACCGUUGUCCUGGCAGCCCAUUGACUCUAGCAGUUAUGAUGAUAAAUGGUGAUUUACAUUGCGGUUUUAUGUUUAUAUUGUAUGUGGUUUACAUUGUGGUUUUAUGUUUUUGUACGUAUUGAUACAAUAGCCACAUUUACAUGAGCCUAAUGGCCUAAUGUCUUUAUCAGAGUAUUGGACAGUUAUAGCCUACACCACCUCUUACACACACACACACACACAAACACAAGGAGACUCCCUUUCACAUCAUUGUUCCAGCAGCCCAUUGAUGUUGGAAAAAUAAAAACAAAUUGUAUUCAA
Eleginops maclovinus (Patagonian blennie) is the source of this 1359-nucleotide long non-coding RNA. RefSeq lists it as uncharacterized. The transcript is spliced from 2 exons. The record is from RefSeq and is a predicted model, not a curated record. NCBI's taxonomy places the organism in Eukaryota, Metazoa, Chordata, Actinopteri, Perciformes, Eleginopidae.